UCUUUCGGGAGAGAAACUUAUUGUGAGAGCGGCGAACGGGUGAGUAAUAUAUGGGUAAUUUGCCUCUUUGUCUGGGAUAGCCAUCGGGAACGAUGAUUAAUACCGGAUGUGUUCAGAAACUGCAUAGUUUCUUAUAUAAAGGCGGGGAUCUUCGGACCUGUCGCAAAGAGAUAAGCCCAUAUCCUAUCAGCUUGUUGGUGAGGUAAUGGCUCACCAAGGCUUACGGGUAGCUGGUCUGAGAGGAUGGUCAGCCACACUGGGACUGAGACACUGCCCAGACUCCUACGGGAGGCUGCAGUCCGAGAAUCAUUGUCAAUGCACGAAAGUGUGAACAUGCGACGCCGCGUGGAGGAUGACGGCCUUAGGGUUGUAAACUCCUGUCAGCAGGAAGGAAUAAUUAGAUAAUUAAUA
RNAcentral lists this ribosomal RNA (411 nucleotides) under uncultured bacterium. RNAcentral's name for it is "bacterial SSU rRNA". It matches the Rfam family "Bacterial small subunit ribosomal RNA", at positions 75 to 466 of the family's 1533-position model. The record is from RNAcentral.